CUACGGGUCGCUCCAGUGAGGAAUAUUGCGCAAUGGGGAGAACCCUGAUGCAGCAACGCCGCGUGGAGGAUGACGCAUUUCGGUGUGUAAACUCCUUUUAUAUGUCAAGAAAAUGACGGUAGCAUAUGAAUAAGCACCGGCUAACUCCGUGCCAGCAGCCGCGGUAAUACGGAGGGUGCAAGCGUUACUCGGAAUCACUGGGCGUAAAGGACGCGUAGGCGGGUUGGAAAGUCAGGUGUGAAAUCCUACAGCUUAACUGUAGAACUGCACUUGAAACUUCUAAUCUAGAGUAUGGGAGGGGGAGAUGGAAUUAGUGGUGUAGGGGUAAAAUCCGUAGAUAUCACUAGGAAUACCUAAAGCGAAGGCGAUCUCCUGGAACAUUACUGACGCUAAGGCGUGAAAGCGUGGGGAGCAAACAGGAUUAGAUACCCCGGUAGUC
Molecule: ribosomal RNA, 439 nt
Filed under: uncultured bacterium
Lineage: Bacteria
Description: partial 16S ribosomal RNA
Rfam family: Bacterial small subunit ribosomal RNA
Source: RNAcentral